RNAcentral lists this long non-coding RNA (997 nucleotides) under Salvia miltiorrhiza (redroot sage). RNAcentral describes it as "long non-coding RNA (SMIL_LNC001974)". The record is from RNAcentral. Lineage: Eukaryota; Viridiplantae; Streptophyta; Magnoliopsida; Lamiales; Lamiaceae.
CCUCUGCCUCUCUUUUAAAAUCAAAAAAAUCAACCUGCCUCGCUUGCUUUUUUCCGAACUUCCUCAUUUUCAGUCCACUGCAUUAAAUGAAAUGAAUCCCCUCGCUGAUUCUUUGAAUGCUUCAUCAUAAUUCACGAGAACUCCAUUCAUUUCUCCAUUCCCACACUUUAACAAUCACAUCCAUUCUAAUGAUCUUAUCCUCCCAUUUUCUCGGAAUUCCAACUACCUCGUCGCCGGCAACCAGGUAACUCAUCUCUUUCAUCAUUCCUUAUUCGCUUCAUUCCAAAUUCAACCCCCUUUUCGUGAGGGUUCUUCAUUUCUUUUCUUAUCUUGUUGAAUUUCCAUGGAUGGCAUUAGAUUAGCGUUAAACACACACGAGGAUUUCUGCCCUGUCUCUUGGUUGAUAUUGUUGUUAACGAACAAUAAUAUACUAUUAAUCAAUAAUUUAUUCAUCUAUUUCAAAAAUUUGAAACGAUCUGUCUCAGAGCAUGGGUCUAAGUCAAGUUGUUUAUAUUAUUCUGCCUGCCUGCAUGAAAUGUGAUUUGUCGUGUUAUGUGAAUAGUAAAUAAAUUAGGGUGAGGAGGAGACGGCCAUCAAAAUGCCACAAGAAAGCUACAACAAUUCCAUAUUCAACUCCCCCAGUAAGAACUUGAGAGGACUAAAGGGAUUGAUCUACAACACCGCCAACGCCGAUGAAAUCAUCAGCGAUCGCGAAUUAGCCCAGAGAAAAGCCGAAGAAGCAGGUAUCUUAAUUUUCAUCAACCAACCUUAAUUACUGUCUCUCUAAACAACUCACUCAAACCCAAAAUUAAAUAAAAAGGGAACAAACAAUAUGAUGAGAAGUUCAUUUUUUGGAAGUCAAAAGUAGUAGUAGCAAUCAAUAUUCCCGAAUUCAAUUUCAAAAGUGAAAUAGUUAGUGCAAAAACAUCAAGAUCGCGCUGCGAGUGUGUUCAAAAGUUCAAAAAUAAAAACAACUACUGUAGUUUUGGGCCGGCUA